CACAGUAGGUAAACGUGUGUGCACCACCACAAUAAGAAGGCAGCAUGAACGGAGCCAUGAUACUACGAUUCACCGUGGUGACAACCACAAACAAACCGGUCGGCAGAAAUACUCAUGCGCACAUACAGCGAGUU
This is a long non-coding RNA of Etheostoma spectabile (orangethroat darter), 134 nucleotides long. RefSeq lists it as uncharacterized. The record is from RefSeq and is a predicted model, not a curated record. Lineage: Eukaryota; Metazoa; Chordata; Actinopteri; Perciformes; Percidae. The transcript is spliced from 3 exons.